CUCCAACGUAUCGUGACAGGCCUCGGUUUAGUAGAAUUAGAAACCGUAUUCCCCAAGUUAUGUUACGUUACGUGAUGUAAGUGAAGGUAAAGUAAUGCCAACACGCAGUGCGAUGACAAAACGGCGAUACGACGUAGACAAAAACGGUAUGUCGCAUCUCUUUCGAGAGGAGCAGCAGCGAACUAAAUUCAGUUGAAAGGCAGUUUUCCGAACUGAGCCGCUCCACUCGCGCUCACACGGACGCCGGCUCCACUGGUUGGGAAAUCCAGCGAGCGGAGAUAAUCUCCUGUGGCAUCGGGCACAUCUGCAAGUGACAAACGGGAAAACGUCAGCGCGAGGCACCUACCUCGUCGCUUGAAUGAGUAUCCGCUGGGUUUCAGCCAAUCCUCCACCGACUAUACAGAUAAAAAAACGCUUAAAUGUAUACGAAAGUACACAA
Long non-coding RNA from Betta splendens (Siamese fighting fish), 439 nucleotides. RefSeq lists it as uncharacterized. The record is from RefSeq and is a predicted model, not a curated record. NCBI's taxonomy places the organism in Eukaryota, Metazoa, Chordata, Actinopteri, Anabantiformes, Osphronemidae. The transcript has 2 exons.